RNAcentral lists this microRNA precursor (81 nucleotides) under Prunus dulcis (almond). RNAcentral's name for it is "sRNA ncRNA". The record is from RNAcentral. Lineage: Eukaryota; Viridiplantae; Streptophyta; Magnoliopsida; Rosales; Rosaceae.
AAGGGCUUAUAAGGAGUUGGGCUACUCUCCCCAUUGUCAAUUGGAUGGGGGGAGUAGCCCUACUCCUUAUAAGCCCUUGCU